Long non-coding RNA from Hippocampus comes (tiger tail seahorse), 1106 nucleotides. RefSeq lists it as uncharacterized. The transcript is spliced from 3 exons. The record is from RefSeq and is a predicted model, not a curated record. Lineage: Eukaryota; Metazoa; Chordata; Actinopteri; Syngnathiformes; Syngnathidae.
CCGUUCAAAGAUUCAUUUCUAUUUAACUCAUUUACACCCUUUGACGUAUAAAUACGUCAAUUAGCGCAUAGCCGUUCCCUCCCAAUGACGUAUUAAUACGUCAAUCACGUUUUUUCAUGGGGGAGGGUGCAAGAGAGUCUGAUGCAACUUCUCACCAAAGGAUUAGGCUUGACGGCAAUGUUAAAUAGCAAAAAAAUGGCCAUCGGGUAGCAGUGGUGCAAAAAUCCACGAGGAUCACGCAGCAGAAGUAGUAGAAAGGGCGUAUAGUGGAGGAGGGGCGUAUGUGGAUCGUGGAUUGGAACGUUAGCAACUAGCAACGAUGGAGAAAAGGAAACAACUAACUAAAAAUGAUUGUUUUUUUCGGUAUAAAAGCGUCCUCGAAACAAAACAACAAAGGAGAUGACGCUUUGGUCACGUAAUCGAAAGCAGCACACGUCAAACGAACGUCAGCCUGCGCAAACAUGGCGUGCUACACUCGGCCCGCAUAGCUCACGCCGAGUUUCGAGCUCAUCUGAUGAAGAUGAACAUGCUCCACGUCAGGGACCAUCGCUUGGUAGAGCAUUUUGUGCCUCCCCGUGGCGCACAUUGCCCACAAAUCGUCUCCCCGGCGACUUCCAGCGAUGACGGCAAAGAGGCUGCAUUGCUUCGCAUGGCCGACGCCGGGCACACGUCAGCGAUUCGCUGGAAUCAUCUCGUAAUGACGACGGCGAAAACGAUGAAUUGGAGAGCGAUUUGGAUCCCGAUCUGUCGGACGAAUACGUGCCUUCGGACAUAACGGAAAGCAGCUGAGAGUUCUCGCCAGAGCCGCUGGAACGAGGAGAUUGUUCAACCAGAAGCCAAAAGAUGACGACUCCUUGCUUUGGUGGUGGAAAGAAAGGUCGUGCAUCUGGAUGUGGUGGGAUGAAUCGAUGUGGUGACAAACUGGAUGGAGGCCAAAAAUCAUCCUCUCCACAGCUGCACUUUCGUUCAUUUUUCAAUUUGCACUUUUGUUCAAAGUUCAAUAGUUUUGUUGUGUGCAAAUAAAUUAUUUUGCUACAAAAACAGUAUUUGUAAUGUUCUUUUGUAGGAGGAACACAUUAUUGAGGUAUUUGAGCUGUCACAAAAGC